AGGAUCCUGGUACUAAAUUGAUAGUGACUUUGACAUAUUGCAUAAUCUAAGCUUUUUAGUCCGAAUUACAUUCACUUGAUCUGAACAUGCUCUUUUUCAAUUAGCUUCCUCCUCCACCCCAGCAGGCUUGCUUGGGUGUCUUCUUUGCAGUGCUCCCUUUCGUCCCAGAACCCAUUGGGUGAGGCUCCUUAGUAUUAGGACCUGUGAGAAGGUGUUACACAGUAGGUGACUGCUGGGCUGUGCGUUGGUUCUCACUGAGCCUACUUGGGAAUGGAAACUCCAGUGAAAUUCCUCCACUAUUCAAAAGAGAAUAUUCUUUGCUGCUGCUGCUUUCGAAGGAAAUGUUGGACAGCCUACAUCCUGCAACAUUACUAAUCAGCAGCAGGAUGAAAAGAAUAUUGAAAAAGUUGUAUCAACGAAAAUCACCAAAUCUGGACUACCAAGAAGAGAAACUCCCCCAAAGUAAUCCUUCAUAG
Molecule: long non-coding RNA, 476 nt
Filed under: Anser brachyrhynchus (Pink-footed goose)
Lineage: Eukaryota; Metazoa; Chordata; Aves; Anseriformes; Anatidae
Description: lncRNA (ENSABRG00000001808.1)
Source: RNAcentral